GGGAGAGCAAGAGUGAGAGAGCCAGGUUUUAUCGACACAGUGGCCCAAACAGAAAGGUGACAUUUGAGAGAACAAUUGCUAGGUUGUUUGGCCUCAUUUGCUGCUAUGAAUGAGGCUUAAGAAAAGGUGUCUUUGGAUUGCUACUAAUAGUCAUCUUCAUCAUUCCUGCUCUUUCUCUCUCUCUCUCUCAGUUCCCUUAUGAAAUAAGGGCACACAGGUAAUAAACAAAGCACUAUAAAAGAUCAGAUUGAGGUAUUCUGUGGGCUCAUUCAAUGUCCGGAGCAAGCAUUCUGCUUUCCACCGCUGGUACUUUCUGCAUCCAAAGCUGCACAGACGUGGAGAGAAUAGUGGUGGGACUUGAGUCGACCCCUUUCUCCACGUCUACAACCUUGCAGAAUUUAAAAGAACCACAUCCCUGGUCAGCCAGGCCACACCUGAUGGCCAGGGAGCAGAGGAAAAGAUGGCAGGGUAGAGACCCUUGGAUUUUUCAUGUGGAUCGUGGAUCUUUACCUGACUUUCUUGGUCCAGCCUCGUGGCAGAUGCAGAAAUGCUUCCUCAAGAGCCUCACUGCUGCUUUCAGUGAUGGAUUAAGCACAAUACACAGAGAGGUAGGUGCCGAGUAGUGGAGAGCGGGGAGGUGGGAGUAUAGGACCCUAUAAGGAUUUACAUAUAAUUAUGCUCUCUCAAAAGUAUUGUCCUUACUGCGAUCAUAUCACCUAUGGAUCAUGGAGUACUAGGCAUGUGCCUGCCCAUCUGCUGAGCACCUGCCACAGGUGAUCUUUACUUCUAACGGUGCUCUAGGACAGGUUACUUCUUAUGUCCUCACAUCAAAUAGUGGACACUGAAGUUCUCUGGGGUUAAGCGAUAUGUGCAAAAUCAGGAUUGCAAGUCAGGUCCAGUAGGUUCCAAAGCUACAGUCUAUAAACACAGUGCAUACACAUUUAAUAAAUUAUUUAUUUAUUUAGGUUUUUUGAGACAGAGUCCCAC
This 987-nucleotide long non-coding RNA is filed under the name Fukomys damarensis (Damara mole-rat). RNAcentral describes it as "lncRNA (ENSFDAG00000028864.1)". The record is from RNAcentral. Lineage: Eukaryota; Metazoa; Chordata; Mammalia; Rodentia; Bathyergidae.